Molecule: long non-coding RNA, 918 nt
Filed under: Homo sapiens (human)
Lineage: Eukaryota; Metazoa; Chordata; Mammalia; Primates; Hominidae
Description: PREDICTED lncRNA (TCONS_00247617)
Source: RNAcentral
GGAGCCCGGGCGCACGGGCCAGGCCGCGGGCUGUCCCAGGGAGCCCCGAGGGCGCGGUGCGCGGGCGCAGGUCGGGCGCAGGCGGGGUGACCCGGGGAAGGGGCGCGCACAGAGACAGAGGGAGCCAGCCGGGCCCCACGGUGUCCUCGGACGCCUCCGAAAUCUCCCUGCGUGUUUGUUUCUUCGGAGCUUCACCGGAGCCUGACUCUGGAACCGGCCUGUCUGCCUGCUGCAGUCUGGAAACGUUGUGUUCUGUUAGUCUUGGAGGCCAAGGCUGAGUGGGUUUAUCUCUGUGCCCCUCCAGUGACUUCAAAGAAUGCCAAAAGUCUCUCGAGUGUGCCUGUGUGCACACACAGACACACACAAAUAUGCAUUCUUAGAAACCAGAUAUACAAAGACAAGAUCUCUGCUUUCAAGAAGCUCUCAAUCUGAUUGAGGAGAGAAACAGGUAGCAAAUAAUGGCAGCAGAGCAUGGUCAUUCAACAUUUAUUCAACCAAAAAUACUAAGUCAGCUCUAUACAAACUAAUGGAAGGAUACAGCUAUGCAAAUAUAGAACACUAAAGUGUUACAUGACAGAUGUAUGAGAAGUACCUUUUGCCUCCCACUGUGAUUCUGAGGCCUCCCCAGCCAUGUGCAACUGUAAGUCCAAUGAAACCUCUUUUUCUCCUCAGUUUUGGGUAUGUCUUUAUCAGCAGCGUGAAAAUGGACUAAUACGAUCACCCUCUUCUUUGUUCUCCUUUCUAUUUCAUCGCUAAUUUUUUUUGGCAUUUGGAGGGUGCUAUACAUUGCAAAAGUUGGGGACUCACUAAUUCCACUGCUCACUGUAUAUCAAGGUAAUCUGUCAGGGGUUUGGUUUUAUAUAAGAAACAAAUGAGUCCCCAGAACAUACAAGUUAAGAUUAUUCAAUCAAGGGAGGC